Molecule: non-coding RNA, 3147 nt
Organism: Phoenix dactylifera (date palm)
Lineage: Eukaryota; Viridiplantae; Streptophyta; Magnoliopsida; Arecales; Arecaceae
Source: RefSeq, a predicted model, not a curated record
GCAAUAGUUUAUGCCGUGUCAGCAAGAAAAGGCAAUGAAGCCAAAAUUCUAAACAAGAUGCCUGCCUCAUGGCAUGUACCUUGCUUCAGCAAUUUGGCAUGAGAAGAAUUUUUUGCUUCUUGGCCUUCAUGCAAGAGGGAUGCAAGUAACUCAAGAGCCAUGAUCAGUCAAAUUGACCCAUCAUGGGCACAAAGAUGGCUACCAUCAUGGUACCAGGAACAUAGCAAAGCAAACCUGACUACAAGGAAGAGAUGUGGGCGAGGUGAUCAUAAGGAAGCUAUCUAGAUGCACACCACACAAAAGAUAAAAUUUCUACAUAUGUUAAUGGCUAAAGAUAAGAAGAAGGUUCCUCCAUCUAACAAAGGCUUUAUGUUAGCAAUUCCCUGGAAGUUUACAUUCCUUUAUGUCGAACUAUCAUUAAGAAAACCAGAACUGAGUCAACAUGGUGUAUGGCUAUUCCUCGGUAACAAGAAUAGAGACCCCAGACAUACAUCUAGCUUCUAUGUAUAUACACCAAGCAGAGCCAAAAACCUCUACGACCCCAGGUAAACUUCUUAGGACAUGCAAAAGAGGCAUGUUUGAGACUAUAUGACCCAAUAACAAUGAUACAGAGAGUCCUAUGGAACCAGAGAUGCUGUAUGUAGACCUAUUGGAAAAUCUAUAGAAGACAAGGAUUAAAAAAUUGAGCACAUCAACCCAAAAUCAUGCUGUACUCUACCACACAGGCCAGCUCCCAUAUCAGCUGGCCAUCAAUGCAGUAACUAUUUUCAUAAACUGAAUGCUUGGUAGAAGACAAUCACCAUACUAAGUUAACCAUUAGACGACUAGUCAACUUGGCAUAUAAGAUCUCUAGGAAAAAGACAAUCAUCAUUUGAAUCAAAACCAAGAUCUCAUGAUCCUAUUAUUUUUCUAAUUGAAAUCAUUAACCAUCUAGUCCAGUCUUCAGCACAAAAGGAAACUAGAUUCACAUAAAAGAAGACAGAUUAAAAAAAGUAUUAUACUACUGCAUAAUGAAGGAGGAAAGCACUGAUAACUGAGCAAGAAAGGAGUCAAAAUUAUGUAAGAACAAGUCUUGGAAAUUAUUUGUAUUUAAAUUCAAAAUAACACCCCCUAGGGUCAAGUAGGUGAAAAAAGAGAAAGAAAAGAAAACAAAUUAAGAGAGAAGAAAAGCAUAUAUGGAGCCCAAGAAGGAAGUGCAAGUAGUGUGAAAAGGCCAAACAUAUGGCACUGGCUCCAGCCUGUUAAGAACAUAGCACCAUGCCCUAACUGCUUAAGAUCUAGAAGAUGAUUAAAAGCUCCACCAAGAUAAUAUGAUAAAGAGGAAUGCAACAAGAACAAAGGGUCGGAUGGGAUGGAACAGGGCUUUUUAUCUACACUAACUUAAGAAGGAUUACUAGAAAGGACUAUAAGCAAAAAGAAUUUCAAGCGAAAAAGGAAUAUGAGUCAUAUGACAAUUGUGAACAUCUGUGUUGGAUGAGAUGGGGUACAGUUGUUUGUCUAGGAGUUGGAUCCAUCUCUAUACCUCAAUGUAUAGAGACUCAGCUGAAAAGGAUCUGAAAAAUGAAUGUUGGUAAUGUGGACACAACUCAUCAUUAUAUGAAUGCUCCUUUCUGGGUAUGCAUACUCCCCUUUGACAAAUUAUAUCCCUCUUUAAGUAUAAAUAAAUCAAAAGGAGUGACUUUACUAUAUUUACGGAAAUAAUUCUGAUUGAUGGUUCACAAACAUCCAUCAAAUGUUCCUUUUACAAGCAAUGAUUUGCAGCACUAUUCGAAUUAGCUGAUGAAUUACCUAGGACAUUGGGCCCUGCUAAUGUCCCAAGCCAACCUUUCAUGAGUUGCACCAUUACCUACUGAAAAGAAAAAGUAAGGCACAUAGCAUGACUCCUCAUUAAAUUGCAACUUCAAGCACCUAAAAUUAAUUAUAUGGUAACUUCCAUUCCAAAUUAGUGGGUUCAGCUUACUGUUUAUAAUCUGGAUAAUCCUGUGUUUUGAGUGCUGAAACGGCAAGUGCUAUGCUUCACAUGCUUUGGUAUUAUUCUGCAUUUAUUACACUAGCAUGCGAUUUAUUAAUUCAGAAAAUUCCUGCUAUAAAAAUAUUGAUUUAGUUGUACACUAUUUUAUACUUAAGAAGACUUGUAAUUGAACUCUGAUACCUAAAAUUAUAUCAUUCACAAGCCAAAGAAUUUAACCAAGUCUGAAACUAAUUCAUAUGAAAAUAGAAAAUAAAAAUAGAACACCACUGAUUACCUUCUCCUCCAUCAAUGAUAAUCUAGCAUUACCAGUCUCUUAUAUAAUGCAUCCUCAUUUAGAGUUUUCUAGCACCUCUCUCCCUUAACAAAGAUAGAUAUACCCAACAAGGAGAAAAAGAAUCAGGUUAAGAAAAAAAAAAGGCAUAAGAGAAGGGAAUCAUGUCAUGCCAUGCAAUAUCAAAAUUACUUGCAUGUACCUAUCACAACUUCACAACAACUAAUAAAAGAAUCAAAUCGUCACCAAAUUGAUCAAUGCUUUAUCAGCAACUGAGCCAACAUAUAGAACCAAGGUUUGCUAUACCGUACCGAAUCGAGCGGUACGGGAUGUGCCAUAUCAUACCAGUUCAGUACUUGAUACGCCGAACCAGCCUUAUAUCAUACCGUAUCAACACAGUGAUAGGUUGGCAGUGGUAUGGAACCCGGUACCGAGACAGCGUACCUUAUAUAAAACCCUAAGCAAAAUUUCCAAGACUAGGAGCAUGGGCAACAUGCAAAAAGCAUAACAAAGCCAAGAUGUAUGACCCCAAAAACAAACAUACACAAUCACCAAGACUUUUUAGCUAAUAAUGCAAUUGUGAAUCUAGCAUUAGGAAGCCCAAAGAAGCUCUAAAACCAAAAUGAUAUACUUUGCCAAUUAUGUUUUGUGAUGUUAAUGCAAAGGUAAUUUAAUACAACAAUAAAGUGUAGAACCUAUUAUGUGAUGUUUUGUUUUGUGUAAUCUCAAGUCAUGGCUGCUAAUGCUAUGACUGAACUGCUAGCUUCAAAGUGAGACAUCCACAAGAGGCUUCUCCAAACCAUACCUCGGACACACUUGCCACUCUUUCAAGACUUUCUCUUUUCAGAAUAAUGAAAUAGCUACAGAGUGGUAAUUAUGUAUGAAAGAACAAACUUUCGCAAAG